This 495-nucleotide ribosomal RNA is filed under the name uncultured bacterium. RNAcentral describes it as "partial 16S ribosomal RNA". It matches the Rfam family "Bacterial small subunit ribosomal RNA", at positions 29 to 506 of the family's 1533-position model. The record is from RNAcentral.
AUGAACGCUGGCGGCGUGCCUAAUACCUGCAAGUCGAGCGAACAGACGAGGAGCUUGCUCCUCUGACGUUAGCGGCGGACGGGUGAGUAACACGUGGAUAACCUACCUAUAAGACUGGGAUAACUUCGGGAAACCGGAGCUAAUACCGGAUAAUAUAUUGAACCGCAUGGUUCAAUAGUGAAAGACGGUUUUGCUGUCACUUAUAGAUGGAUCCGCGCCGCAUUAGCUAGUUGGUAAGGUAACGGCUUACCAAGGCAACGAUGCGUAGCCGACCUGAGAGGGUGAUCGGCCACACUGGAACUGAGACACGUUCCAGACUCCUACGGGAGGCAGCAGUAGGGAAUCUUCCGCAAGGGGCGAAAGCCUGACGGAGCAACGCGGCGUGAGUGAUGAAGGUCUUCGGAUCGUAAAACUCUUUUAUUAGGGAAAAACAAAUGUGUAAGUAACUAUGCACGUCUUGACGGUACCUAAUCAGAAAGCCACGGCUAACUACGU